CCCGCCUGGGGAGGGGACAGGGUAAGACCCUCAGCCCAUGGAGUCCUGUGUGAUGUUGUGAGCGUGGGAGGACAGACUGAACUGCUCGGCCCGUGGAGUCCUGUGUGAUGUUGUGAGCGGGGAGGACAGACUGAACUGCGUGGUGCUUCGCACAUAGACCUCAACAGGGAUUGGCAUUUUGAAGCUGUUGGCGGGGGCUGUGGACUGCUUUUCUUCCUUUCUAGCUCAACGGCAGCUAAAGCCACUGCAUACAAUGCAAGGACUGGCUCCUGUUUGGCCACGACUGAUUGCAGCCCCUGGUGAAAUGAGAACCCUGUGGGUCGG
RNAcentral lists this long non-coding RNA (324 nucleotides) under Homo sapiens (human). Its description in RNAcentral is "HSALNT0219304". The record is from RNAcentral. Lineage: Eukaryota; Metazoa; Chordata; Mammalia; Primates; Hominidae.